GUUAGGAAUAUUGGACAAUGGGCGCAAGCCUGAUCCAGUCAUGCCGCGUGAGUGAUGAAGGCCUUCGGGUUGUAAAGCUCUUUAGCCGAUGAUUAUAAUGACUGUAGUCGGAAAAUAAGCCCCGGCUAACUUCGUGCCAGCAGCCGCGGUAAUACGAAGGGGGCGAGCGUUAUUCGGAAUCACUGGGCGUAAAGCGUGCGUAGGCGGUUUUGUAAGUUAGGAGUGAAAGCCCAGGGCUCAACCCUGGAAUUGCUCUUAAAACUACAAGGCUAGAAUGUCGGAGAGGAUAGCGGAAUUUCCAGUGUAGCAGUGAAAUGCGUAGAUAUUGGAAGGAACACCAGUGGCGUAAGCGGCUAUCUGGACGACUAUUGACGCUGAGGCACGAAAGCGUGGGGAUCAAACAGGAUUAGAAACCCUGGUAGUCC
Molecule: ribosomal RNA, 425 nt
Filed under: uncultured bacterium
Lineage: Bacteria
Description: partial 16S ribosomal RNA
Rfam family: Bacterial small subunit ribosomal RNA
Source: RNAcentral